GAGUGCUGGGAUACCACCUUGAAUUCUCUUAAGCUUGUCUGAUCUCAGAAGCUAAGCAGGGUCGGGCCUGGUACUGU
This 77-nucleotide ribosomal RNA is filed under the name Peromyscus maniculatus bairdii (prairie deer mouse). Lineage: Eukaryota; Metazoa; Chordata; Mammalia; Rodentia; Cricetidae. The record is from RNAcentral.